GAUGAAGAACGCAGCGAAAUGCGAUAAGUAAUGUGAAUUGCAGAAUUCAGUGAAUCAUCGAAUCUUUGAACGCACAUUGCGCCCGCAAGUAUUCUGGCGGGCAUGCCUGUUCGAGCGUCAUUUCAACCCUCAGGGCCCUUUUGGACCUGGCGUUGGGGCUCGGCCGCUACCCUGCGGCCGUCCCCGAAAGAUAGUGGCGGUCUCGCUGUAGCCUCCUCUGCGUAGUAGUUACAUCUCGCACUGGAACGCGGCGCGGCCAUGCCGUUAAACACCCCACUUCUCAAGGUUGACCUCGGAUCAGGUAGGAAUACCCGCUGAACUUAAGCAUAUCAAUAAGCGGAGGA
Molecule: unclassified non-coding RNA, 344 nt
Filed under: soil metagenome
Description: partial contains 5.8S ribosomal RNA, internal transcribed spacer 2, and large subunit ribosomal RNA
Rfam family: 5.8S ribosomal RNA (bases 1-120)
Source: RNAcentral